Molecule: long non-coding RNA, 2901 nt
Filed under: Marmota monax (woodchuck)
Lineage: Eukaryota; Metazoa; Chordata; Mammalia; Rodentia; Sciuridae
Source: RNAcentral
UUAAAAUUCUCUCUCUCUCUCCCUUCUCUCUCUCUCUCUCUUAAAAAAAAAAGAUAUAUGCAGAGUCAGAUGCAGCAUGAGGAUCAUUCAGGUGGGAGGCAUGCCUUGAGGUGUCGGGGUGGAAGCCUGUUUUGUGAUGGAACAUGUGUGUGGGUCUCAGUAAUGUGAUCUUAAAGGAGAGACAAGCUCCUCCGACAAGCAGGCCUGUUGGGGGAGGAUGUUUAAAGGGGUUGCCAAAAGUGUCCCAGCCUUCAGCAAAGGAGAGAGUUUCAGUUUGGGAACAUAAAGACUCCCUCCUGCACCUCCACAUUCUCAGUCCUUAGAACCAUCUCCAGGAAGCUCCCUCACUGAGGGUACCAAGUCAUAGUCUGGACUGCUCUCUUGUUAGGCAGGUCUUCUGCUCUCUACCCCCACACACAGGAAGAUGACAAGCUUCUGCUGCUCCUCUGCCUUUUCACUCUCCCUUGGGGACCAGCCUGAAGCUAAGUCUGGCCUCUGGAUUCAUAACAAUCACCUCCUAGGUACCUGUAGAUGUAGGGGGUGUUUAUAGUUGUAGGGGCUAAGGAAAACAUUUCCAUACAGAAAGGAGUGAAUCAAUAAGUAUGUGUGAAUCAAUAAGGCUAUGAUUGUGUGUGUAUUUGUGUGGGUGUGUGAGUGCACACACAUGGCUGUGUGUGUGAGGACAUGUGGGUGGAGUAUGUGAGAACAUAUAUGCAUUUGUCUGGAGAUGUCCAAGUGUAUAUCUAGGUAUUGUGUGUAUGUGAAUCUGUGUGUGUGAUCUGUUUCUGUGAGUCUGUAUUUGUAUGAAGUGUGAAUAUGUGUGAAUCAAUAAGGCUAUGAUUAUGUAUUUGUGUGGAGUGUGUGUAUAGCCCUUCCCUUGUCAGCCCCCCAUCACUCAGCCUGCCCUACAUUGCCAUGUUUGCAUCUUAGGAAUUGUAAGCCCAAGAUUAUGCAUGGCUGUAGACCUUGUGGGCCAACCUGCUCCUUGUGUGUGCAUGGGUGUGCUUGUGUGUGUGUGCAUGUGUGCAUUAGGGGUUGAAGCAUGUAGUGGAAGAGCACAAUGAAGGAGCCCCUUUCUGUGUGGAGGCAGAUAGCCCCCUAGGGCAGCCUGGAGACUGGGAUCUGUUGCUGCCCUCCUUGCAGGGAGCAUGAGUGUGUAUGUGUCUCUGUGUGUGGAUUUUCCUUUUUUGUGUUAUGAAUCAGAUCCAGGGCUGUUUGUAAUCCCGGUGUUUUCCAAUAAGGAAAUAUACAAGAUAUCUGGGAUCCCUCAGAAUGGCCCAUGUUUGUAAGGAAAUUGCAGGCUAGUCCAAAUGAGAAGGGCAGAAUUGAAAAAUGGCACAUGGGAGAGUGUCAGCAAAGUUUCUGGGAGGGCUCUGGCUCAGGUUCUGGUCCUAGAUUUUCCACCAGCUUCCUCAGAACUGUGCCCUAAUUUCUUUCCUUCUCUAGGACUCAAUUUAUCAUACGCAAGAUGAGUUUAUCCUGAUGUCCCAGUCCGGUCCUUGUCAGUGCAGCUUGGUUUAGAGAACAGGCUGUGGGUUGUGCAUUGCCCCUAGUGGCCAGAGUCCUGGGCCUCUGUCCUGGGGUCCGAAAGGUUUAGGGUUGGAAUAAGCUUCCUGUGUGGCUAUAGGCUGAGAGCUACUUAUACUCAAAGAGACCUCUAGUCGCCCUGCUUGGUGUCUUGGAGGGGCAGGGGCCUAACCUCGCUACAUUGGACAGAUCUGUUGAACUCCAGAUCUGGAAUCACAGUUGCAAAUUUGUGGUGCUUUCAAUAUCCGGAAUUGGUGGGGGCCCUCAUUUUAGGAAUAAGAAUUUCCAUUUACCAGUGAAUAGUAUGCACCAUACUCUCGAGUAUACAAUAGGCUUAUGAGUUGGGUAGUUUGUCCCCAUUUCACAGAGAGAUCAACUGAGGCUCACAGGAGGCAAUGACUUGCCCAAGAGCAUCCCGUCAAAAAGGGGCAGAUUUAGGACUUACUUCCCAGGUCUGUCUGUCAUCAGAGCCAAGCUCUUACCCACUGUCCCGAUACCACAAAUGUUUCUAUCCAAUCCCACACAUCGCCACAUCCUUGGAAUGUGAGGGGGGUCAUAAUUUGUAAUGUAUAGAUUGUAAUCCUGGGCCCUGAGACAGUAAGCAAUGAUCCAGUGGAGGGAAACUGUUUCAAAUUUGCAAUCUUUGAGCUCUCUUUUGAGCAUGGGUUCUCUAAGGACUUGGUUAAAAAACAUCUAUGUCCCUCAAAGCAGACCUCCUCCAUUCUUUUGUUCCUUUACUUAUCUCCUUGGCAAGAGACAUCUAUUCCAAUAUCAGAGGGCCAGUUUUCAGUGGGAUAGUAUUGAAAGCUCUUGUUCAGAAAUUUGAGCACCAAAUCAGGUCUUCCCUCUUCCCUCCCUCUGGGUUCAGAGGAGCUGUUUCCCUGAUUGUCAGUGCCUCACCCUUUUUUUUCUGAAAGGUGAGUCUUAAUCAGUUUUCCUAGAUAAGCUGGACAACUUCCAUAUUUGGCCUGACCCUCGGUAGCCACUAAGGGCUGGAAAAUAUGUCUAGUGCUGACCUAGAAACCCAUCAGGACCCAGGACCAGUGAAGCAGGUUAAGAAGGUACUUCAGGCUCAGGCAGAGCUGUAUUCAAAUCCUGGAGGCUUUUAAAAAUUUUUAAAUUUGUUCUGUAUAGUUGUACAAGUAGACAGUAGAAUGUAUUUAGGCAGCAGAAUGCAUUUCAAUUCACUGUACAAAAAUGAAGUGCAACAUUUCUAUUCUCUGGUUAUACAUGGUGUAGUAAUGUACCAAUUUGUGCAAUUACACCUGUACUAGGGGUAAUGAUGUCCAAUUUAAUUCCACCAUCUUUCCUAUCCUCAUAAUCCCUUCCCACUGUCUCCUUUGUCCAAUCUAAAGUUCUUUCAUUCUUUGUAUG